UACACAGCCCCCCACACGGGCUCUUCUCCUCAUGGACUCAAGUGCACAGUACUUGAAUUUGAAGAACAGAGGGCCAUUAGUUUUGUCAACAGUUUCCACUAAUUUCUAGGCGUCUUCCCAAAUGAGAAGUAGGCACGAACCGAAAAAGGAGAAAAUGAAAUUCCUGCUGUUCUGUUCCAUCAUACUAAGUGGGUUGUGGUAUGAGGCCUUCACCUACAUGUCAGUGACAGAGGGACAGAGGGCCAUUCUGGACUGCCUGCUUCAAGCAGACAGCAGCACCGGGACCGUGAGCUGGUACAGGCAGGUUCCCGGGGAGGGGCCCCAGCUGGUUCUGAGUUACUCCACCCACAACACCUCCCAGGUGUCAUACGGCCAUCGAUUCAACUCCAGCAGGUUCACUGUCCUCACCAAGGCCAAUGAGACGUACCAGCACCAGUUACUAAUCACAGCAACCGAAGAACACGAUACCGCUGUGUAUUACUGCGGACUGACUAAGCUUACAUCAUAGAACCCAGCAGCUCAAUAAAUGCAUUAAAAUAAUCAGUUGACAUUUGUUUGGAUUUCAUGAGCAAAGUACAUGCAUUAAUGACAAUGUUUGUGUUUAUUCUUUUGUGACCACAUUAAAUGCAUAUAUGUCACCUGUACAUUCAUUGUUUGACUGCACAAUUCAAAAUGUUAAUAACAGAUGCUGGAUUCAAUCAAUUCUGUCUUUUGUUGGGAAAGCAGAUAAACUAUAUUGCAAAUGAGAAUAAAAUUUCUGUAUUUUAUUUACUUUUAUGUGUUUUUAUGGUUGAGAUAUUAUGGUUGUUCAUGGUAAAUUUUCUGAUUUUAUCACCUUGUUUUGAUUGGAUUGUAAGCAGGUGGCUGUUUUCACACGUGUUUGUAUUCACCCUUGUGGGUAUUGUGUACUUUCCUCUCCUUGUUGUGUUUUGGAAUAUUUUGAUAAUUGAUUUUUUAAUCCUGUAAGCAGAUCUGAAAUCGUACUAUAACUAUACAGAUGAUAUAGAUAGAUAUAGAAGUUGAUAAUGAGGAUAAUGAGGAUGAUGAUGAUGAUAAUGACGAUGACAACUCCAAGUGAAAAUAGCACCAUCCAACAUUUCGACAUCCAUAAUUUUUGUACAUCUGCCUGGAUAUAUUUCUCUGUAUUCAGUUAAUAUGAAAUCAAAUAAAUUCAUUCUUUGAUGUGAGACUA
Molecule: non-coding RNA, 1192 nt
Organism: Anguilla anguilla (European eel)
Lineage: Eukaryota; Metazoa; Chordata; Actinopteri; Anguilliformes; Anguillidae
Source: the annotation of a RefSeq genome assembly